RNAcentral lists this ribosomal RNA (301 nucleotides) under uncultured bacterium. RNAcentral describes it as "partial 16S ribosomal RNA". It matches the Rfam family "Bacterial small subunit ribosomal RNA", at positions 509 to 807 of the family's 1533-position model. The record is from RNAcentral.
CAGCAGCCGCGGUAAUACGUAGGUGGCAAGCGUUGUCCGGAAUUACUGGGCGUAAAGCGUGCGUAGGCGGUGAGUUAAGUCUGCUGUGAAAUCCCCGGGCUCAACCUGGGAAUGGCAGUGGAUACUGGCUCGCUAGAGUGUGUCAGAGGAUGGUGGAAUUCCCGGUGUAGCGGUGAAAUGCGUAGAGAUCGGGAGGAACAUCAGUGGCGAAGGCGGCCAUCUGGGACAACACUGACGCUGAGGCACGAAAGCGUGGGGAGCAAACAGGAUUAGAUACCCGUGUAGUCCCUGUCUCUUAUAC